CUUCCUCCUCCUCCUCCUCCUCCUCCUCAAUUCUAUCGUAUAUUUCUUCACGUCAAGGGAAACCACGAAGCUUCUAGAAUCACAUCACCGUUGAUCUCGGCCUCUGAACUUGCCGCUCCAGUCUGAGUCCCUCUCUUCUGAAGCUCUGAUUAUUAAGCACAUCCUAUCCUAUCAUGGCUCCGCCCCUGGUGGAGCAAAACGGCGACGCAGCGGCCGCCGGCGAUUCGCAGAGGUCUACUCUAACGCCGUUCCUGACGUAAACCAAUCAGCUCGUCGAGGACGCCAAAAUAGACGACGUCAUCUCCUGUAACGAGGACGGAUCCAGCUUUGUGGUGUGGAAUCCUACCGUGUUCACCCGAGAUUUGCUCCCCGAGUAUUUCAAACACAAUAACCUCUCCAGGGAUCUACGAACGUGGGGCCUGAUUAGUCGGUGGGAAUUCCCCAACGAUUGCUCCCGGAGAACGAGAUGUUGAGAACGGAGAACAGGCUGUUCUGCAAGGAGCUCAGGCAGAUGAAAAGGCCGAAACGAUGUCGUUUCGGCUCAUGUCUAUUAAAACAUAAUAUUUUCAACACCGUUAGUUUCACAUAAGUAGCCAUGUUACAUUUCAAUUUAGGGCGUUGACGGAAGGGCAUGAUUGUUAAACAGAGUGAAAACGAUGGUAGAUUAGUGGCAAAAAUAUAUGUUGGGCAAAAGUGAUGGCAUUUUGAAAAGUUGAGAGUAAUAGUGAUAGCGUACUCUAAAAUAAAUAACCAUGACUAACUAUUAUUGCAAUUGGGUUUUUACCAGUGUUAUUAGAGACGGACCGGACGUUGACCGGUUGAGGCUUGGGUUCAUGAUUUUUUGGGUCGAACCCGGGCUCGAUGUGUCGAACUGCAUAUUUAAUUAAAUUAUAAAUAAAUGUGCUAAAUUAAUUUAAUUAGCGUUUAUGAUAGCAAAAUAAUAUGUUAAGCGAUGGUUAAUGUAAAAUAAAUUGAGUAUACAUAGAAAUAAAUGCAAAUCUACAAUUAUGGCACGAAGGAAGUAGUAGUGGUGUGGUUAGCAAGUCAAGCAUUUCUAUUGUUGGGGCGUCACUAGACGGCAAUUCAAUUCUCCCCUACGUCAAGCUCAGUUUCACUUAUUUUAUUAAAAAAAAAUAGAAGGAUCCUGUGAGUUCAUUGUUGGUUCA
This is a non-coding RNA of Punica granatum (pomegranate), 1166 nucleotides long. NCBI's taxonomy places the organism in Eukaryota, Viridiplantae, Streptophyta, Magnoliopsida, Myrtales, Lythraceae. The record is from RefSeq and is a predicted model, not a curated record.